GUUGAACGCUGGCGGCAGGCCUAACACAUGCCAGUCGAGCGGAUGAAGGGAGCUUGCUCCUGGAUUCAGCGGCGGACGGGUGAGUAAUGCCUAGGAAUCUGCCUGGUAGUGGGGGAUAACGUCCGGAAACGGGCGCUAAUACCGCAUACGUCCUGAGGGAGAAAGUGGGGGAUCUUCGGACCUCACGCUAUCAGAUGAGCCUAGGUCGGAUUAGCUAGUUGGUGGGGUAAAGGCCUACCAAGGCGACGAUCCGUAACUGGUCUGAGAGGAUGAUCAGUCACACUGGAACUGAGACACGGCCCAGACUCCUACGGGAGGCAGCAGUGGGGAAUAUUGGACAAUGGGCGAAAGCCUGAUCCAGCCAUGCCGCGUGUGUGAAGAAGGUCUUCGGAUUGUAAAGCACUUUAAGUUGGGAGGAAGGGCAGUAAGUUAAUACCUUGCUGUUUUGACGUUACCAACAGAAUAAGCACCGGCUAACUUCGUG
This 484-nucleotide ribosomal RNA is filed under the name uncultured bacterium. RNAcentral describes it as "partial 16S ribosomal RNA". It matches the Rfam family "Bacterial small subunit ribosomal RNA", at positions 28 to 507 of the family's 1533-position model. The record is from RNAcentral.